AUUGAACGCUGGCGGCAUGCUUUACACAUGCAAGUCGAACGGCAGCGCGGGCUUCGGCCUGGCGGCGAGUGGCGAACGGGUGAGUAAUUCAUCGGAACGUGCCCAGUAUUUGGGGAUAGCCCGGCGAAAGCCGGAUUAAUACCGCAUACGACCUGAGGAUGAAAGCGGGGGACCGAAAGGCCUCGCGCUAUUGGAGCUGCCGGUGUCGGAUUAGCUAGUUGGUGGGGUAAAGGCUUACCAAGGCGACGAUCCGUAGCUGGUCUGAGAGGACGACCAGCCACACUGGGACUGAGACACGGCCCAGACUCCUACGGGAGGCAGCAGUGGGGAAUUUUGGACAAUGGGGGCAACCCUGAUCCAGCCAUGCCGCGUGCGGGAAGAAGGCCUUCGGGUUGUAAAACGCUUUUGUUCGGGAAGAAAUCCUCUGGGCUAAUACCCCGGGGGGAUGACGGUACCGGAAGAAUAAGCACCGGCUAACUACGUG
RNAcentral lists this ribosomal RNA (484 nucleotides) under uncultured bacterium. Its description in RNAcentral is "partial 16S ribosomal RNA". It matches the Rfam family "Bacterial small subunit ribosomal RNA", at positions 29 to 507 of the family's 1533-position model. The record is from RNAcentral.